RNAcentral lists this transfer RNA (160 nucleotides) under Candidatus Terrarchaeum hikurangii. RNAcentral's name for it is "tRNA-Asp". Lineage: Archaea; Nanobdellati; Candidatus Terrarchaeota; Candidatus Terrarchaeia; Candidatus Terrarchaeales; Candidatus Terrarchaeaceae. RNAcentral also lists the same sequence under 1 other name. The record is from RNAcentral.
GCUCUGGUAGUGUAGUUGGCCUAUCAUCUGAGACUGUCACUCUUAGAACCCGGGUUCAAAAUUUGCAAAAAAUAAUAUUUUUAAAUCAAAUUAUACUUUUUAGAUAAUGUCUUUUGAGUUAUCUAUAUAUUUUUUGCGUUUGAAAAUCCCGGCCAGGGCG